This 742-nucleotide ribosomal RNA is filed under the name uncultured bacterium. Its description in RNAcentral is "bacterial SSU rRNA". It matches the Rfam family "Bacterial small subunit ribosomal RNA", at positions 94 to 823 of the family's 1533-position model. The record is from RNAcentral.
AGCGGCGGAUGGGUGAGUAACACGUGGGGAACCUGCCCCUAAGUCUGGGAUACCAUUUGGAAACAGGUGCUAAUACCGGAUAAUAAAGCAGAUCGCAUGAUCAGCUUUUGAAAGGCGGCGUAAGCUGUCGCUAAGGGAUGGCCCCGCGGUGCAUUAGCUAGUUGGUAAGGUAACGGCUUACCAAGGCGACGAUGCAUAGCCGAGUUGAGAGACUGAUCGGCCACAUUGGGACUGAGACACGGCCCAAACUCCUACGGGAGGCAGCAGUAGGGAAUCUUCCACAAUGGACGCAAGUCUGAUGGAGCAACGCCGCGUGAGUGAAGAAGGUUUUCGGAUCGUAAAGCUCUGUUGUUGGUGAAGAAGGAUAGAGGUAGUAACUGGCCUUUAUUUGACGGUAAUCAACCAGAAAGUCACGGCUAACUACGUGCCAGCAGCCGCGGUAAUACGUAGGUGCAAGCGUUGUCCGGAUUUAUUGGGCGUAAAGCGAGCGCAGGCGGAAAAAUAAGUCUAAUGUGAAAGCCCUCGGCUUAACCGAGGAACUGCAUCGGAAACUGUUUUCCUUGAGUGCAGAAGAGGAGAGUGGAACUCCAUGUGUAGCGGUGGAAUGCGUAGAUAUAUGGAAGAACACCAGAGGCGAAGGCGGCUCUCUGGUCUGCAACUGACGCUGAGGCUCGAAAGCAUGGGUAGCGAACAGGAUUAGAUACCCUGGUAGUCCAUGCCGUAAACGAUGAGUGCUAAGUGU